UUGUGUCUAUUGCUAAGCUAUGUUUGCCUAGUCCACUUAGCUGUAAAUAGGCACAAUG
This 58-nucleotide microRNA precursor is filed under the name Octopus bimaculoides (California two-spot octopus). RNAcentral describes it as "Obi-Novel-91_pre stem-loop". The record is from RNAcentral. Lineage: Eukaryota; Metazoa; Mollusca; Cephalopoda; Octopoda; Octopodidae.